This 456-nucleotide ribosomal RNA is filed under the name uncultured bacterium. RNAcentral's name for it is "bacterial SSU rRNA". It matches the Rfam family "Bacterial small subunit ribosomal RNA", at positions 923 to 1379 of the family's 1533-position model. The record is from RNAcentral.
GCACAAGCGGUGGAGCAUGUGGUUUAAUUCGACGCAACGCGAAGAACCUUACCUGGGCUCGAAAUGGAGUGGACCGGAGUAGAAAUAUUCCUUCCCCGCAAGGGGCCGCUCUAUAGGUGCUGCAUGGCUGUCGUCAGCUCGUGUCGUGAGAUGUUGGGUUAAGUCCCGCAACGAGCGCAACCCUUAUUACCAGCUGCCAUCAUUAAGUUGGGCACUCAGGUGAGACCGCCUCGGAUAACGGGGAGGAAGGCGGGGAUGACGUCAAGUCCUCAUGGCCUUUAUGUCCAGGGCUACACACGUGCUACAAUGGCCGGUACAAACCGUCGCAAACCCGUGAGGGGGAGCUAAUCGGAAAAAGCCGGCCUCAGUUCGGAUUGGAGUCUGCAACUCGACUGCAUGAAGCUGGAAUCGCUAGUAAUCGCGGAUCAGAAUGCCGCGGUGAAUACGUUCCCGGGC